RNAcentral lists this long non-coding RNA (1098 nucleotides) under Crocodylus porosus (Australian saltwater crocodile). Its description in RNAcentral is "lncRNA (ENSCPRG00005003547.1)". The record is from RNAcentral. Lineage: Eukaryota; Metazoa; Chordata; Crocodylia; Crocodylidae.
AUGCAUAUGUUACAAAGUAAUUUUCAGAGAUGGUUGAAAUACUGAAGCCUUUGAGAAACACUCAUAGAUGUUCAAUAUUUCUUUCAGGUCAUCAGAUUUUGGGACAUUAUAUACAAAGCUGAAUUUGCAGCCUGGGAUUGCCACAGUCAUUGACAACUUCUAUAUCUGUCCCACCAACAAAAAAAAGUGCCUUACAGACAUGUGUGACGGCUGGCUGGCAGUAACUUAGCCCAGGGGUUUUGAAAGGGCAAAAGAUGAUUGGAGGACUUGGGAUUCCCUUUCCGCACUGAUCAGGCCCCAGAGACUCCCCUCCUGCCCACAUGUCACCUGAUUGGCCCCUUGGGUCAUCUGGAGGGGGAUAAAAGGGGCAGUGGGCUGACUCAGGGGAGACCAGCAAGGGACAACAAGGAAGGAGCUUCACAGAGCUGGUAAGACUUGAGCCAGCAGGGCAGAAGCAGUGCCCCAGAAGAUCCAGAAGGAGCAGGACCUGCAGGCAGCAGCGGGACCCUCAGCAGCGCGGCGUGCGGCCAGCAGGAGAGGAUCCCCACUGGGCUCCAGGAUCCCCUGGGAGAGGCUGUAGGCAGCAGGAGAGGCUCCCCCCGCCCCCAGCAAGGAUCUGAGCAGCGACCUGAGAGGUUCCCAGCUCUGAUUCCAGCUCCUCCAAUCCGAGGCCAGGCAGUUUGAUGUGAGGCUGGGGCUCCGGGAAGGUCAAGACCCCUAGCAGGCUGGAGCAGUGCCACCAGUGGUGGCUGUAUGGCAGUGUUCCUGCCUACCAUGUGGGAGAUCUGGGUCCAAGUCCCAGCUGAGGUGACUUGGGGUGAGUGAGCUAACAAGAAGCAAAUCUUGCAGUGGAAACGGGCCAUUGUCCUUUCUCCCCCUCCAGGUCCCAAGGCUCUAUAUUUCCUUGCCAUUUGACAUUUUGUGCCUUUUUAUAUUUUAUCAUAUAUUUUUAUGUUUGUUCUGCUGUUUGUGUUUUAUAUUUUGUUAACCCUGGUUUUUGGUCAAUGAUUGUAAGUGUCUAACCUUUCUUGAAUCCUGCCCCCUUGGGGCACUAUACCCUCUGAUUUAUGCCUGUUAUGUUCCCAGUAUUAAAAGGUA